AUCAAUGAACUGAGCCAUGUUCAAAUCCCUGUUAUGUUGAUGCCAGAUGACUUCAAAGCCUAUUCAAAAAUAAAGGUGGACAAUCACCUUUUUAACAAAGAAAACAUGCCGAGCCAUUUCAAGUUUAAGGAAUACUGCCCGAUGGUCUUCCGUAACCUGCGGGAGAGGUUUGGAAUUGAUGAUCAAGAUUUCCAGAAUUCCCUGACCAGGAGCGCACCCCUCCCCAACGACUCCCAGGCCCGCAGUGGAGCUCGUUUUCACACUUCCUACGACAAAAGAUACAUCAUCAAGACUAUUACCAGUGAAGAUGUGGCCGAAAUGCACAACAUCCUGAAGAAAUACCACCAGUACAUAGUGGAAUGUCAUGGGAUCACCCUUCUUCCCCAGUUCUUGGGCAUGUACCGGCUUAAUGUUGAUGGAGUUGAAAUAUAUGUGAUAGUUACAAGAAAUGUAUUCAGCCACCGUUUGUCUGUGUAUAGGAAAUACGACUUAAAGGGCUCUACAGUGGCUAGAGAAGCUAGUGACAAAGAAAAGGUAAGUACCUUGCUGUACGUCUCCCCAUGUCCUGGGGGCAUGAUCACGUACUCCCAAUCACCUUUACUCUUUCUUUCUAGUCUCCCACCCCUGCUAUUGUGAUUCUUCCUGUUCCCCAUUCUGCUGCCACCAGCGAGAAACACUUUAUUGACCCGAUGAGAGUUCUACUUCAUUUCUCUUCAUCAAAUUGUUGAAUAGUGAAACAGUUAUUUGUUGCAAGCAUGGUUGGAAGGAACAUUCCACCUGCAACUUGCUCUUGAAAAACACAGCCACCUGUGCAGUAAACCUAUAAUCGAAAAUGGCACUGACAGCUG
Molecule: small RNA, 848 nt
Filed under: Pan troglodytes (chimpanzee)
Lineage: Eukaryota; Metazoa; Chordata; Mammalia; Primates; Hominidae
Description: processed transcript
Source: RNAcentral